GACGAACGCUGGCGGCGUGCUUAACACAUGCAAGUCGAACGGAAAGGCCCUGCUUUUGUGGGGUGCUCGAGUGGCGAACGGGUGAGUAACACGUGAGUAACCUGCCCUUGACUUUGGGAUAACUUCAGGAAACUGGGGCUAAUACCGGAUAGGAGCUACUGCUGCAUGGUGGGCGUUGGAAAGUUUCGGCGGUUGGGGAUCGACUCGCGGCUUCUCAGCCUGUUGGUGGGGUAGUGGCUUACGAAGGCUUUGACGGGUAGCCGGCCUGAGAGGGUGACCGGCCACAUUGGGACUGAGAGAGGGACCAGACUCCUACGGGAGGCAGCAGUGGGGAAUAUGACACAAUGGGCGGAGGCCUGAUGCAGCAACGCCGCGUGCGGGAUGACGGCCUUCGGGUUGUAAACCGCUUUCGCCGGUGACGAAGCGUGAGUGACGGUAAUGGGUAAAGAAGCACCGGCUAACUACGUG
Molecule: ribosomal RNA, 468 nt
Filed under: uncultured bacterium
Lineage: Bacteria
Description: partial 16S ribosomal RNA
Rfam family: Bacterial small subunit ribosomal RNA
Source: RNAcentral